AGGGAUGUAGCGCAGCUUGGUAGCACAUUUGUUUUGGGUACAAAGUGUCACGGGUUCAAAUCCUGUCAUCCCUA
This is a non-coding RNA of Helianthus annuus (common sunflower), 74 nucleotides long. The record is from Rfam. NCBI's taxonomy places the organism in Eukaryota, Viridiplantae, Streptophyta, Magnoliopsida, Asterales, Asteraceae.